This 207-nucleotide ribosomal RNA is filed under the name uncultured bacterium. RNAcentral describes it as "partial 16S ribosomal RNA". It matches the Rfam family "Bacterial small subunit ribosomal RNA", at positions 568 to 774 of the family's 1533-position model. The record is from RNAcentral.
CGCGUAGGCGGCUUGGUCAGUCAGAUGUGAAAGCCCCGGGCUUAACCUGGGAACUGCAUUUGAUACUGCCAAGCUAGAGUGUGGUAGAGGGAAGUGGAAUUCCGGGUGUAGCGGUGAAAUGCGUAGAGAUCCGGAGGAACAUCAGUGGCGAAGGCGGCUUCCUGGACCAACACUGACGCUGAGGUGCGAAAGCGUGGGUAGCAAACA